ACGGCUCACUCAAGAGCCAACCCUCACAAACCUUCCUAAAAACUAAAAGAGCUAUUACUGAGUCUCAGCGAAUCUUGCCAUGAUCAGCUCUUCCCAGAAGAGAAGGAAGACCAAGGAAAUGAUUUGCUCAGGAUGAGAAAUGAAGAUGGCCAUCUUGUGCUCAAACAAACAGAAGUCCUCUGAUGAUCUCAUCAGCCAAAUGAGGGGUUUUGACCAAGUGAUGCUCUUGAAAG
This is a long non-coding RNA of Carassius gibelio (silver crucian carp), 233 nucleotides long. RefSeq lists it as uncharacterized. The record is from RefSeq and is a predicted model, not a curated record. The transcript has 3 exons. Lineage: Eukaryota; Metazoa; Chordata; Actinopteri; Cypriniformes; Cyprinidae.